CCGAGGCCAUAUUAGAGAUUAGGGUUAGUUUCUUGAGCGAUUCGAACAUUGAAGGCUAGGGUCAGAAGGUUUAGGUUUUUGGUUAAGGUUUUGGUGCAAGUUUUGUGUCAUUUGGGGUUUUUAUGAAGAAGUUAUAGGUGCUCAAAGUUAAGAUGUUAGUUUUGGACCUACUGUCACUCUUUUGGGCAUAACGCACGCAUACGGAUGGCAAUUGAGAAUCGGCGACCGCCACUAGAGAGAACACCUUUGCGACUAUACUUUUUACAUACUGCUUACUGGAUUCCAAGCUUGGAUGAAGGAGUUAUUAGAUUUUGAAGUCAGCACAUGCAAUCUAAGGGUAGUAAGUAAACCGAUUUACUAGUGUUUGUCUCUUGAGCUAUAUCUUGAGCAAUUUUGUGAAGUUUUGGCUCAAAAUUUCAAGGAAUGUGUAAUUUCAUGUUAGUAAACUUUGUGCAUAAGUUUUAUGACAUUUGAAGUUCGGGUUUUUGAGAUAUAAGGAAAAUAGUUUUCGGGUGCUUGUAAAUUAGGGUUUGGAGUGUCUGCUAGGGUUUCUUAGAUGCCAGAAGAUCGGAAGUGAAUUUGCGGUUGGUUUUUUUCUUGGUACAAGUUAAGGGUAAAUUCUACCCUUCUUGUAACUUUGAAAAAAACUGAACGGUUAGAUCAAUAGUUAUGAUUUUCUAAAGUUCAGGGCGGAAAAACCCUUCGCGGGAAAAAUAUGUUUUGAAGGGAUUUUGUUAUAUUUGGAGUUUUAUACAAAAAUAAAGGAGUUUUGGAAGCCAAGAAAAGAAUCAUAUAAAGGUUUAAGGUACACUCUCUAUAGCUAGAUACCCAAUGUAUUCCCAGAUAGCAAAUCAUGCCAUACGACAACGUAUACUAGAACAACCAUGGUUUU
RNAcentral lists this long non-coding RNA (892 nucleotides) under Physcomitrium patens. Its description in RNAcentral is "long non-coding RNA (PPAT_LNC004444)". The record is from RNAcentral. Lineage: Eukaryota; Viridiplantae; Streptophyta; Bryopsida; Funariales; Funariaceae.